GAGGGAGGGAGGAGGGAGGACAAAUCAUACUUAGUACAUAAACACACCCACACUUUUUUUAUGACCAUUUUGCUACUGUUUUGUUAAACAAUGGAACCUAUUAAAUUUUGGGAUUUUCCUCCCAACUGUGAAAAAAAUAAACAAGCAGAAUUUUAUUUCAGUGUUUGUUUUGGCAUCAGGUUUAAUUAUUUUUCUUUUCUUUUGGUUAUAUCAGCUCGCCGCCUCUGGUCUGUCAGCGUUAGCCCCUCAUACAGGAGUACUAUGGGGUUCUGGUGGAGCACAUAUUAAAAAUAAUAAAAAAACAAGCAAUUUCACAAACACCAAAACCUGGAGGAGGUUUGGGAAGAAGAGCAGAGCCUGGAGAGAAUAAAUAGAAACAGAGCUACAAACCAGAUUAAGGAUCAAAGGACCCAACUUCUUCCUAAAACAUUCGACUUUAUAAAAUACCAUCCUGGGAGCAAAAUGACUCAUUCAAAUGGCAUACAGUGUGAGGAUGGAAGGGACAGGGAGGCUGCAGAGCAGCAAGAGGCCUACAUCAGCAGUCUGGCAGAUUUGAUUUGGAAAAUUCUGAUGAUAUAUAAGAAACUAGAGAUUAAUAUCAUCCCAUAGAAUCAUUCUUCCAUUCCUUCCUCCUGUACAGAGCACCUCCACCAUGAGAGAUGCUAUGCAAGACACGACCCAGUCAAUACAUCCUUUUGAGGAAUAUCAAUUAACAUUGUCCAGCAGUUCAAGAACCUCAAGGCUGACUAUCCUUCGCAAAGGAGGCCGAACAGCUCCUGUGUCUGGAGGGCAUGGCCUGAGGCAGCACCGACACCUGGGAACAAAGAGAACCAUCCAUGGAACUCUGGGCCUUGCCUCUGGAUGGAAGAUUAAACUGCCUUACAAGGAAAGUGCCCAGGGAGAUGUGCUGGGGCCCGGCGUACUGCACUUCUAGAACUAUUAUUUGAGUAUUGCAAAUACAAAACCUAAAGAGGAAAGUCAAAAAAAAUGCUGCCAUUAUCAUCAUCAUCUUCAUUAUUAUCACUAUUUUAAUUCUAAUAACCUAUAGGAUUUAUGAGAGCUGUUAAGUUUUAGAACUUAGGAAUAAGUGAAAGACAGGUAGAAUGAUACUUUUUCAGACUCAUUAUUAUAUGAAAAAUUUAGAGGCACCAAACAGCACUUAACUUAUAAACCCCCAGAUUUUAAGGACCAAGAAGAGACUACAGACUAAAUUUAUACUCAUCCAUCCUUGCAAAUAAAGAUCAGAUAUACACCAGCACUCAAAAUACAUAUAUUUUAAUUUUACAAAGAUAAUUCAAAUAAGUCAAAUUGUCAUUUGUCACUUUGCUAGUCUAACAAUGGCUGGCUCUUAAUAAA
Molecule: long non-coding RNA, 1356 nt
Filed under: Ailuropoda melanoleuca (giant panda)
Lineage: Eukaryota; Metazoa; Chordata; Mammalia; Carnivora; Ursidae
Description: lncRNA (ENSAMEG00000031170.1)
Source: RNAcentral